Equus caballus (horse) is the source of this 2131-nucleotide non-coding RNA. The record is from RefSeq and is a predicted model, not a curated record. Lineage: Eukaryota; Metazoa; Chordata; Mammalia; Perissodactyla; Equidae.
AUUGGCUGAUCCUUGGCUCAGCUCUUCUACCCAGCUACCAUCUCCUCUACAGCAAGAGGCCUCCUUCUUCCCUAGUCCACUUUGUAUGUGGCUGGAAUGUUAGAGAGCACAUAGUUUUCCAUGAGGGUUUGCAAUGACUGCUUGAGAAUUCAGAGCCAAAUAUCUGGCCCGCAACUGGAAAGCGAAAAGGACAAUGCACCAGGAGCAGAGGCGACUAAGAAUCAGUUUCGACUUCUCGCAGCUGUCAUUGCAGCCAAGGUUCCAGUGGGUGCAGGGCUGGAAGGAGAACCACAGGCUAAGACUGGGUCCUCACAUCUGGCUGCCCAGCAGACGGCUUUCACAGGAUGAGCAAGUGACACGAUCCGGGAAGUCGAAAAUCCAUCCUCGCUCCGUUUGUUUUUCUUAGUUUCAGUUUUUCCGUGCCUCCUAAGAAGAGCCGAGGCUGACUAGGUCUGCAGCUUCAAUACCCAUCAGGAGAGCAAACGGCUUCUCUGUACCACCCAAGCAAUCAAUUAAAUGGAGAGCGAGGCAGCGAUUCCUGACGUGGCAGAAUUUUAAGUCCAGCUGUGAAACUCCACAGUGCGGCCAGAAGUAGACAGACAAGUUGAACCGAAACCUAAGGGGCGCUGGACCACUGCCUCUCAGCAAUUUUAUUGUAAGUUGUUCCCGCUGUCUCAGAGAGAAAUUUGAGACGUGGUUAGAGAAAAGCAUGCAGCUAAUUACCCCCAUUUUGAGCAUAGAUCUUUGUUUUAAGGGACUUGCUUUAUAAGCGAUUGCCAAGAACCUUGCUUUGAAUGAUAUUUCCAGGCAUGCUAUUUUUAAUAGCAAAUAAUGGCAGUUACAUCUUACAAAUAAUAGUUUAAUAUGCUUCUAUUCCUGAGUGUUCUUGAUCUCAUAAAAUCUUAACAACAACUCUGUGAGGUUGGUACUCUUCUUAACGCGAUAUUACAGAUGAGGAAACUGGGAGCUGCCUCACCGGGUACUUAAGUACCUUACAGGAAGCACACGGCUCGUAGCUGAGAGCCCAGCUCGUGUAGCUACACCGUCUGCAUCCCAAAGGAGGCCGGAAACUAGGCCAUUCAUUUCUCAAAAGACAGAUUCUCUUAGUGGAUUAACACAUAAGACCCAACAAUAUGUUUGUUUCUUAAAAAUAGUUAUUUAUAACAAAAAGGUGCAGGAAAGCUAAAAAUAAAAAGUUUUAUUGAGGAAACUCAUACAACAAAAAGAAAACAGUUGGUAAAGUUGAUAUCAUAUAAAAGAAAUUUUGAAGUCACAAAGGUGGAGGGAGGGUACAAAGAGGUUCGUGAUUAUAAUGAAAAAUAUAAAAUCAACAGCGAAGCCAUGGAUUACCAAAGUUAGAAACGCAAAGAGAAAGAAUAAAUAAGAAACAACCAAUUGUAAUGGGAGGUGUUAAUUCGUUAUCAGGCUAAGACGAAAGUUAGACAAUUUUAAAAAUUAAAUAGACAAACAAAAAAUUUAGAAGACAUUGAAGAUGUGACAAAAACAGAUAUAAAUUUGGAAAGUAACAUAGAGGUUAUGAAUACUGUACAAUUAAUAAGUUAGAACCAGUAGACACACACUGAACUCAAAACAACAUAGACUAUACAUUCUUUCAAUGUAUAGGGCAUUGGUACGUAUAUACUAACUCUCAACUAAGGCCCCAAAAAUGAAUUAAGAGGAAAACUACAUAGAUAUAUUUUCUCACCACUAUGCGAUAAAACUAAAUGUUAAUAAUAUAAGUAAAAACAAUGAAAGGAGCCUUGGGCAAAAUAGUGACCUAAUCUAUCACCUUGGAGGCAGAAUGUCCAGGGUUUGGAUUAUAACUCCACCCCUUACUGCUGUGUGACCUAGGCAAUUUACUGAACCUCUCUGAACUUUGGAUUCUUCAUCUAAAAAUGAGGCUCUACUUUGCAAAGUUGUUAUGAAUAUGAGCUAUAAAGUCUGUAAAAUAACAUAAUACUAAGACUUAAAAGAAUGCUUAAACCAAAUGUCAUACAGGGUGAUGCCAUAUUUUUAAUGUACUCAUAUUUUAUUUAACUGUAAAAAAAGUCCAGAAGUUUUGUUGAUUGAAAGCAAAAGUCUAGAAAAUAUACAUCUAAAUACUAACAGUGGCUAUCUCUAUGCCCUGAGA